Rhagoletis zephyria (snowberry fruit fly) is the source of this 401-nucleotide long non-coding RNA. RefSeq lists it as uncharacterized. The record is from RefSeq and is a predicted model, not a curated record. Lineage: Eukaryota; Metazoa; Arthropoda; Insecta; Diptera; Tephritidae.
UCAUGCACAAGUUAAGUCGAAGAAUACUCGUAGAGGUGAUUAUUUUCAGUUUCAGUAGUGAACCGUAUGCGGUAGCACCAAAAUAAAAACCAUUUAUUAUUGUAUUCUUCCUUAAUUACUAUGUAUACUGGAAAUGGGAACAAAAUGUGUGAUCUUCAAGCAUUCCUGAAAUGAAUACCUACAUAAAUAAAAAAGUUAUCAUAUGUGGGAAAAAUUCGCGCAUAUCGCAGUCAGCUGAUGUCAGAUAACACCCUUUAGUGAUCAUGUGAGCAAUAUUGUAAGACUUGCGUAGUAGCUAUGUAUGUAUGUACGUACAUACAUACAUCGUAAAAGCCUCUAUACAUAGAAAGGCAACGCCUUAGUGAGUGAGUUUUGAGACACAUGAAUGUAUGUAAACAAAU